RNAcentral lists this ribosomal RNA (463 nucleotides) under uncultured eukaryote. Its description in RNAcentral is "bacterial SSU rRNA". It matches the Rfam family "Eukaryotic small subunit ribosomal RNA", at positions 592 to 968 of the family's 1831-position model. The record is from RNAcentral.
CAAUAGCGUAUAUUAAAGUUGUUGCAGUUAAAAAGCUCGUAGUUGGAUUUCUGGCUGGAGCGAUCGGUCCGCCCCGCAAGGGGUGUGUACUAGCGUCGUCUCCGACCAUCCUUGUGGGAACUGUGCGGCCGUUAACUCGGUUGUAUAUGGGAACACAUCGUUUACUGUGAAAAAAUUAGAGUGUUUAAAGCAGGCUUAAGCCGUUGAAUACAUUAGCAUGGAAUAAUAAGAUAAGACUUGGGUCAUUAUUUUGUUGGUUUGCGGAUCGAGGUAAUGAUUAAUAGGGAUAGUUGGGGGUAUUCAUAUUUAAUUGUCAGAGGUGAAAUUCUUGGGAUUUUAGUUAAGAAACGGACUUACGUACGUACGGAACGGAACGACUUUAGUUACCCAAAAGGGGAAUUGGUUUUUUUCCAAUUUUAAGUACUAACGAAACGGAAAACGGUUAAAAGGGGUUAGGGGUACG